Molecule: long non-coding RNA, 1120 nt
Filed under: Homo sapiens (human)
Lineage: Eukaryota; Metazoa; Chordata; Mammalia; Primates; Hominidae
Description: novel transcript
Source: RNAcentral
GGUAUUCUAAUAAAAAAUAACAAUGCUAAUUUUAUCUGAAAAAUACAUGUACCUCAAUAAUUUUAUCAAGGGCAUGUUUUGUGCUAGAUACUACUCUUUAUGUUAGGAAUAUAAGCAAUUGUAUAAGAUACUUACAGAUUGCAGUAAGUGGUAAAAAAUAUAACAUGAAGAGGGAAUAGUGAUGAGAAGGUAACUAUAUAGGGGAGUGGUCAGGGAGUGCUUCACUGAAGAUGUAAAAUAUGAACUGAAACCUAUAUCCUGAUUUAAAAUAGCUUUGCAGAUGUUUUAGGUAAAUAGCAGCAAGCGAACAAUACCAAAGUAGAAUGACUCCUGCCUGCUACAUUUCCCCAGAUACCCAGGACCUUCAUGCUGUCACUCUCCAUGACCUGACCAACAUCUAUUUUGAGAAAUUAUUUUAUAUACUCAUUCAAACAGUCAUCUUUUGUGUCCAGAGUUGGUUCCUUCUGGUGGGUUCGUGGUCUCGCUAACUUCAAGAAUGGAGCCACGGACCUUCGCGACACUUCUAUUUAAACUUCUUGGAAGGAUAUCUCAAUAACAUUCCUUUGCUGAGGACCAUAAGAUAGAAGAUGAGAAUCCAUCUGCCCUCUUCUCUGCACCCAGGCUUCAAUCCUGUUUGAUCAUGCAGGGGCUACAAGGCCUUCGACACAAAGAACUUGUCUUAGAUUCUAAUCAGUUUAACAAAUAGGACAGACAGCUGCUGAGCACUGUCUGAGUGACACUGAUUUACAUACAAAUGAACCACCAAUGUCCCCUUCUAUCAACUCAGAAUAAAAUCUGGUUUUAGCAUAUGCAGUCCUACGAGACAUGGUUAAAGGAUAUGAAUGAUAGAUAGAGAUAAAAGAAAUCAAGGACCAUUCCUCCACAAGUCUCCAAAGAGGAAAACAACAAUCGAAGAAAAAAGAGUGAGAGAACAGAUGGGCUGGCAGAGUUUUGCUUUCUAUGUGACAUUGUGUACUUAUUAUUCGCAUGAGGACUAAUUUAUAAACCCGGAUAGUGUUUAUAAACUAUACUGUCCUAAUGGAAAUGAAAGCAUUAAUACAACUAGAAGAUUCUUUACUUUCCAAGCUUUAAUUAAAAUCACAGGCGUUAAGAAGCAAAA